This is a non-coding RNA of Schizosaccharomyces pombe (fission yeast), 337 nucleotides long. The record is from the annotation of a GenBank genome assembly. Lineage: Eukaryota; Fungi; Ascomycota; Schizosaccharomycetes; Schizosaccharomycetales; Schizosaccharomycetaceae.
AAACGCUGUGUUGUAGUAUCAUGAGAACCAAUUGACCUCGCUGGUAUUGGCGCCAUAUGGGUAGUAACACGAUGAACCGACCCUGCAGGAAGUGGACGAGCUUUGACGGUUUUGGAAGAAGCACCAUUGGGAUCCUCCUUUUCUUCAUCUGACUUUACUACAUUAUCUAUUUCUAAAGCCUCAACACCCAACUCUCGAUCGAUAGACUCUGGCUUUUUCGAAAGAGCUUCAACAGAAGCUUGAUUCUCACGAAGUCGUUGUAAUUCUUCAUCUUCAAUAGAACCUACUGCACCAUUACUCUGCUCCUUUUCAUCUUGCAUCAAUUCACUAGCAGUUU